RNAcentral lists this long non-coding RNA (256 nucleotides) under Pan troglodytes (chimpanzee). RNAcentral describes it as "lncRNA (ENSPTRG00000053814.1)". Lineage: Eukaryota; Metazoa; Chordata; Mammalia; Primates; Hominidae. The record is from RNAcentral.
AAAAGGGAACCCACACUUAACAAAAAGCAGUUCCUACACUGAAAAUGGACACAAGGACAAGGAAACUGGCAAGAAGCUGUAGGGGGGGUGAAGAGGCUGCAAGUCUUCAAAAAUUCACAAAUUGGAUUAUCAAUUCUUAAGGAGUCAGCCAUUGUAGCAAACCAUGCCUUGAGGCAUAGAGUUGAAAUGCCACUUAAAGCAGGAGUGAAGAAAAGCAUUCCUUUUGAGAGGCAGUAUUGCAUAGGGUCAAGAGCAU